CCUACGGGAGGCAGCAGUGGGGAAUAUUGGGCAAUGGAGGAAACUCUGACCCAGCGACGCCGCGUGCGGGAUGAAGGCCUUCGGGUUGUAAACCGCUUUCAGUAGGGAAGAAGCGAAAGUGACGGUACCUACAAAAGAAGCACCGGCUAACUAUGUGCCAGCAGCCGCGGUAAUACAUAGGGUGCAAGCGUUGUCCGGAAUUAUUGGGCGUAAAGAGCUCGUAGGUCGUUUGUUACGUCGGAUGUGAAAACCUGAGGCUCAACCUCAGGCCUGCAUUCGAUACGGGCAAACUAGAGUUUGGUAGGGGAGACUGGAAUUCCUGGUGUAGCGGUGGAAUGCGCAGAUAUCAGGAGGAACACCAAUGGCGAAGGCAGGUCUCUGGGCCAAUACUGACACUGAGGAGCGAAAGUCUGGGGAGCGAACAGGAUUAGAUACCCUGGUAGUCCAGACCGUAAACGGUGGGCACUAGUUGUGGGAACCUUCCACGGUUUCUGCGACGCAGCUACGCAUAGUGCCCGCCGUCGGGAGGUACGAGUCGCGAGAAGUAAACGUAACGAAAGGAAGUAGUAACGGUCGUGUUAGACGUGCCGACGGACGACGACGAGGGAGGAGG
This 613-nucleotide ribosomal RNA is filed under the name uncultured bacterium. RNAcentral describes it as "bacterial SSU rRNA". The stretch from base 1 to 520 matches the Rfam family "Bacterial small subunit ribosomal RNA", at positions 338 to 873 of the family's 1533-position model. The record is from RNAcentral.